This 843-nucleotide ribosomal RNA is filed under the name uncultured bacterium. RNAcentral's name for it is "bacterial SSU rRNA". It matches the Rfam family "Bacterial small subunit ribosomal RNA", at positions 8 to 871 of the family's 1533-position model. The record is from RNAcentral.
AGAGUUUGAUCCUGGCUCAGAACGAACGCUGGCGGCGUGGAUAAGACAUGCAAGUCGAACGAGAGAAUUGCUAGCUUGCUAAUAAUUCUCUAGUGGCGCACGGGUGAGUAACACGUGAGUAACCUGCCCCCGAGAGCGGGAUAGCCCUGGGAAACUGGGAUUAAUACCGCAUAGUAUCGAAAGAUUAAAGCAGCAAUGCGCUUGGGGAUGGGCUCGCGGCCUAUUAGUUAGUUGGUGAGGUAACGGCUCACCAAGGCGAUGACGGGUAGCCGGUCUGAGAGGAUGUCCGGCCACACUGGAACUGAGACACGGUCCAGACACCUACGGGUGGCAGCAGUCGAGAAUCAUUCACAAUGGGGGAAACCCUGAUGGUGUGACGCCGCGUGGGGGAAUGAAGGUCUUCGGAUUGUAAACCCCUGUCAUGUGGGAGCAAAUUAAAAAGAUAGUACCACAAGAGGAAGAGACGGCUAACUCUGUGCCAGCAGCCGCGGUAAUACAGAGGUCUCAAGCGUUGUUCGGAAUCACUGGGCGUAAAGCGUGCGUAGGCUGUUUCGUAAGUCGUGUGUGAAAGGCGCGGGCUCAACCCGCGGACGGCACACGAUACUGCGAGACUAGAGUAAUGGAGGGGGAACCGGAAUUCUCGGUGUAGCAGUGAAAUGCGUAGAUAUCGAGAGGAACACUCGUGGCGAAGGCGGGUUCCUGGACAUUAACUGACGCUGAGGCACGAAGGCCAGGGGAGCGAAAGGGAUUAGAUACCCCUGUAGUCCUGGCAGUAAACGGUGCACGCUUGGUGUGCGGGGAAUCGACCCCCUGCGUGCCGGAGCUAACGCGUUAAGCGUGCCG